Molecule: ribosomal RNA, 425 nt
Filed under: uncultured bacterium
Lineage: Bacteria
Description: partial 16S ribosomal RNA
Rfam family: Bacterial small subunit ribosomal RNA
Source: RNAcentral
GUGGGGAAUCUUAGACAAUGGGGGAAACCCUGAUCUAGCCAUGCCGCGUGAGCGAUGAAGGCCUUAGGGUUGUAAAGCUCUUUCAGCUGGGAAGAUAAUGACGGUACCAGCAGAAGAAGCCCCGGCUAACUCCGUGCCAGCAGCCGCGGUAAUACGGAGGGGGCUAGCGUUGUUCGGAAUUACUGGGCGUAAAGCGCGCGUAGGCGGACCAGAAAGUUGGAGGUGAAAUCCCAGGGCUCAACCUUGGAACUGCCUUCAAAACUCCUGGUCUGGAGUUCGAGAGAGGUGAGUGGAAUUCCGAGUGUAGCGGUGAAAUGCGUAGAUAUUGGGAAGAACACCGGUGGCGAAGGCGACUUGCUGGGCAGCAACUGACGCUGAGGCGCGAAAGCCAGGGGAGCAAACGGGAUUAGAAACCCUUGUAGUCC